GGGGAAUCUUGCGCAAUGGGCGAAAGCCUGACGCAGCGACGCCGCGUGAGUGAUGAAGGCCUUCGGGUUGUAAAGCUCUGUGGAGGGAGACGAAUAAGGCGUGGCGAAUACCCGCGCUGAUGACUGUAUCCCUUUAGCAAGCACCGGCUAACUCUGUGCCAGCAGCCGCGGUAAGACAGAGGGUGCAAACGUUGUUCGGAAUUACUGGGCGUAAAGCGCGUGUAGGCGGCUUGGCAAGUCGGGUGUGAAAGCCCUGGGCUCAACCUAGGAAGUGCACUCGAAACUGCCUCGCUAGAGUGUCGGAGAGGGUAGUGGAAUUCUCGGUGUAGAGGUGAAAUUCGUAGAUAUCGAGAGGAACACCGGUGGCGAAGGCGGCUACCUGGACGACGACUGACGCUGAGACGCGAAAGCGUGGGGAGCAAAC
Molecule: ribosomal RNA, 424 nt
Filed under: uncultured bacterium
Lineage: Bacteria
Description: bacterial SSU rRNA
Rfam family: Bacterial small subunit ribosomal RNA
Source: RNAcentral